This 1602-nucleotide long non-coding RNA is filed under the name Helianthus annuus (common sunflower). RNAcentral's name for it is "hypothetical non coding rna". The record is from RNAcentral. Lineage: Eukaryota; Viridiplantae; Streptophyta; Magnoliopsida; Asterales; Asteraceae.
GCCAUUAGCAAGAAUUAUGCAAAGUGUGUCUCUAUGUUUUCUUCCUUUAUGAAAAACGGUGUCUUCAUUGAAGGGCUGGAGCUUUUUCACUGUCUCAUGUAGUGCAACAAUGGAAUUAUCAUUGUUAAUAUUUUCAUCAACAACAAUUAUGUCUUCUGUCUUCCGAGUACCCGUCCGCGAAUCAUCGCUAAACAACCCUUUAUCAGGGCCGCCUCCGCCGCCGCUGAAGCCGCCUCCGCCGCCGCUAAAACUGCCACCGCUUGAAUGCUCCUUGAGUGCUCGUAAGAUCUCUUCUUGUUGUUUCAUCGAUUGUUCUUGUUGUUUCAACAUGGCGGCUAGGGUUUCUUGGAAAUUUGAGAUUGCCUUGCCAUGUUCCUUGAGAGUGCUAUCAAUUUCUUGAUUGCGAGUGUUAGUCAUGGUAAUCGAAAGUAAUUCCGACCGGAGAUCGGAACGGCUCUGAUGCCCUUGAUAGGGUUAAACCCUAUUUGGAGAAGAUAGGAGAAUUUCAAACUUCAAAUCUGACUUCCUUCCUUCAUAUUACGUCGAUAAAUAAAUAAGUAAAUAACCCAAACAAUUAGUUAGACUCCCUAUCAUUAUUCUUCGCGUAACAUUUAUAGAAUCAGAAAACGAUUACGGUGAUUUUUGAACUUAAUCGCUAACUUAUAUCACCAUGAAAGUUGAAGGCUCCAAGAGAUGAAAGUGGAUAACUAUACUUCUUGUUGGUUUGCUGUCACUUGUUGUGGGCGCAAUUUCGGUAGGGGGAUCAAACCUGCUUCUUUUUACGGGUGAGAUGCCAAAUCCGCCAACACAUAUUCUCGAGCCUGUUGCUUCUUUCAAGAGUGUUCCUCGUUGCUAUAACCUGCACAUCUCCGUUUUAUUUAUCGAAGGUAUAUCUGAUAUUAUGAUUUGAUACUUAAACGAGUUUUGAAGAGGAUAUAUGAAAUUAUCACGAAUACACAAUUUUAUAGUGAACUAGAUUGAGAGGGAUGAAUGAAACCUUGAUCCAGGUUCGGUGGAGGUCGGAUUCAUCAACACUAUUAACAACUUCUUCAACAAAGUAGUUGGUGGGACUGAAGUGUUUAUCGCGCUUGACGUUGUCUUGAAGCUUUUCCAGCUUCAUCUUUGUAUCAACUCCAUUUUGAGUCUUCAAAUUUGCUCCUAAGUCCAAGAUCGCCUCCAAGUACCCGUUUAUCCAUUCGUUCCUUGCCAUCUCAAAACCGCUACCGCUUCCUAGCGGCAGUGGUAGUGGUGGUGGUGGUGAUGGGAGGAGGAGAAGCUUUCUUGGUUUGAAACAGAUAUGUGGGAGGCCUUUGAUGCCUUAUAAAGGCCUUUUGGCAUACAAGACAAUAUUAUGCCUUCUUUUAGUUACUAAAAUUGUUUUGUGAAUACAUAAGAUUCUUUUCACUUUGCACACUUACCUUUUAGCACAGAAACUUAUUUAAAUUGAUUGUAGAAAUAUGUAAAUUAUUUUUAGAACAUAUUUUAGCAUAGGCCGGUUUUUGUGACAAACUCAAGUUAGUUGUGUGAACUGUCAUAUGGUAAUGAAAAUAAGUUAGUUAUGUUAAGUUUUUUUACAGAUUAUAUAAUGAUAUUGUUUCUAUU